Anas platyrhynchos (mallard) is the source of this 4496-nucleotide non-coding RNA. The record is from RefSeq and is a predicted model, not a curated record. Lineage: Eukaryota; Metazoa; Chordata; Aves; Anseriformes; Anatidae.
AAGAAAGAAAGAAAGAAAGAAAGAAAGAAAGAAAGAAAGAAAGAAAGAAAGAAAGAAAGAAAGAAAGAAAGAAAGAAAGAAAGAAAGAACACGGAGACCACCCUGUCCAAUAUACAAAGUGUUCAGAACAACCGACAUAAAGAGCCCACUCCUGCGAGCCCUCCUCAUGCCGGGGACCGAGGAGCAAGCCAAGUCUGCUUCCCCAGAGCCUCCUUGCAGCCCGAGCGAGCUGCAUCUCCGACCCCGUGCCCGAAGCGAGCGGCAGCCCCUCGGCCCGGCACCUCCUCCUCCUGCCCAAGCCCCGGGCAUGGAGAAGCCGAAAUCGGCUUUGCUCCGAGGCUCGCCAAGUGCCUUCUCGUAGACGGGCGUAUAGCUGUUUAUGUCUUUUGUGCUACCUCCAGCAUUUUGCUAUGGUUACAAGGAGGCCCCGGGGGGGCUGAGGGGGGAGAGGGGAGGAUGUUGCGCUUUUGUAGGCCCUAAAAAUCGCAUCCGCAGCUCAUCUCGCCGAGCCCGAGAUUCCGCUAUAAGCCAAGGGGUGCGGUGGAAGCGCGGUGCGAGGAGCGGGCUGCGGCGGGGCGCCGAGCAGGCAUCGCGGCACAGCACGGCUCGGCACGGCUCGGCACGGUCAGAUGCCAGGAGGUACUGCCUCUACCUGCGACAAAGGCGCACGAUGGCACUUGGGGACGGGAGUCCUCCGCCGGCACCGGCAGCUGCUGCUUUACAACCUGUAGAGAUAAGACGGCCUCCCAUCAGAUGAUCGCAGAGAUAAGUAAUCUCUCCCCUCGGUCCCUCGUAUAGUUGACCGUAUGCGCUUGAAUCUUAGAGCGCUAAGUCUUUCCUGUGAAUGAACGAGAAAACACUCGACAGGUCGUGAAUAAUCGUUUUAAUGAGUGUGUAAAAGCGUGCGACGGGGUGCACGGAGCUGUCGGGUUAAACAAACAACUUGUACCCUGACGAAAUCCGAUUGUUAAAGUGCAAAGUGGUGUCAGUCCAAUUUCCAUCCCAGUUCUAAAUACCACAGAUCUAAGUCGCGGGAGUCCAAUUUUCCCCAUUAAGAAAAAUAACAAUAUUUUCUGAACGUAAGUGCGACCGUCCCUUAUGUUAGCCUUUGACGAAAAAAAAAAAAAAAAAAAAAAAAAGACCAUUUGAAUAUUCAAAAGGUAUCGAAGCUCCUUCCAUUAUUUUCUUAUUAUUUUAAAAAAAUGAAUUUAAAAGUGUGUUUGACAUUUUCCUAGAUAUUAUCAGAAUAAUACGGUAAAUAUUUUCCCUCUGUGUUCUCCCCCCCGUAUGUUUUUUCACAGAUCACUGGAGGCAAACAUCGAAUUAAUUGGAUCUCAGUGACUGAGAUCGGUAACAUUGUGCUGAACUGAGGUUAUCUCUGACAUUACGUCCAGGUGUCUGCAAGAAUUUUUAGGCAUUUCUAGAAAAGAUCUCUCCUCCUGUCUGCCGAGAGGGUUGAACUGUAAAUCUGUCUCAAAUGAUGUACCCCUAAAAUGUAGGUAUCUGUGGAGGAAGAAGGUGCCGCGACGAGAACCGCCUGCCAGCCAGAGCGGGGAACUGCCCGGCAGAAGGCUACGUGAUGGACGAGGGCUGCGUGGUCACGAUGGCAGAGCGGGACGGCGUGCUGGCACCAAACGCGUGUUUUUUUUUUUUUUGUUCGCUACAACCAAAAAGAAACAUGGAGGGGGGCGAGGAGGGAAAGCAGUGGGGGCUGGGAGGGAGAGAUCAGAGAAGUUAGUGGCUGUCUGGAGUGUAAACACGAGUCCAUCAGCUCCUCGGGAGAAGGGCGGCUGCGCUCGACAGACCCGCGGAGCCGCAGGACGCAGAAGGGGCGGAGGCGCCCCCGGCCCACCCCGGGCCCCCGCCGCUCGUCCGAAGCCCCGAGGGCUGCAGGGCAGCGCUGGGCACCGCAGCCAGUCCCGAACGUCUCCCCGGGUCCAUCCGGGCUCCUCGAUGACCGCAGUGCCGUCGGAGGGACGCAGAGAUCAUCCCAGGCUUGGGGAUGGGACAGGACGCGGAGGGGGUGGCAUGAAACAGCCUUAGGGCUGCAAACCCCAUUUAAUUCCUCGCUUAGCUUGGUGCAGAUCUCCCGCUCCUCCCUCGGACUUCGCUGGGAAGGCUGCAGUGGCCGAGCCCGUCCGUCUUGCGUUGCUUGUGACCGCGCACUGUACUGCCGCCGUGCCAAUAAACGCUCCGAGCACGGCUCAAUUUGGCGGCCAGAGCUGCUCCGGCCUCUCCGCUCCGGCCCGGCCCUGCUCGGCCCGGCUCUGACCCGGCCCGGGGCUGCGGGGUCGCUUUCGGGUGCUCUUCGUGCAUGGGCGGGGGGCUGCUGUGCCUCCAUCGUUUUGCACCGGCACCCAGACCCAUACCCUUGCAUGGGUCUGCCUAGGCCUGCGAUGCAACCGGCGCUCCCAGGGGUGCACCCGGCAAUAGGAUGCGGUUAAACCAAGUUUUCCUUUGCGCCCCGACACCGAUACACGGUGCGAGGGGCUUGGCAGUCGUGCAGCGCCGGCGGUCGGUGUUCACCCCGGGCAGCAGCAACAGGGAGGAGAAAUGGAACGUGGGUGCUCCCAGCGUCCACUGCCCACUUUCCCCAAAAGUUCAGAAGAGAGAAGGCCAGGAAAAGAGAAAAAAGAGGGAAGAUCUAUACAAGUGUAGAGAGCGUUCAGGUCUCUAUGUAUUAUUAUUAUUAUUAUUAUUAUUAAUCAUAAAAUCCCAGCAAAACAACGGCUCUCUUGUAAGGGAAAUCUGAGGAGCGUAGUGAGCUAAGUGGAAGCUCUGUUUCCAAGGCAAGGCAGGAUUAGUUCACUGCACAUAAUAGCCAGUGUGUAGGAAUUGCAAAUGAACAUCACCAGCAGUGCUGGAGUUACCCUCCUUAAUUUAAUAUCGAGCCAGCUUCCUUGCACAACGUGUAAAUAACAAACAUUUCUUAGCUUUCGAGGGGAAGGAAGAUUUUAAUUUAUUUAUAUAUGUGUGUAUUUUCCCGUGAUUUAAUUCAAGAAACUCCUUUCCCACUGUAUCCAGACAGCAGUGCAGGAAUUUGGGAUGCUGGCCCCUCAACCUGCUUUGCCUGAUUAAAACAAAAACCAAACAAACAUAAAACCCUAAACAAACAACAACAACAACAAAAAACGAGCAACAAAAAACUCACAACCAACCAAAACCCACAACCAACUCAACCCAACCACCAACCAUAAAAACAAAUAAACGAACAGAAAAAAAAAAUUACACCCUCAUCGAUCCAGGGCAAGCCACGGGUGAUGCGCAGCCGUGCCCGCCGGCAGCCCCGUGGCAGCAGCACGGACCGGGCGCCCCAGCGCUUGCCCUGCCUAGGGUUUGACCCCGACGAGCAGAGCCUCCUGCGGCUCCGAGCAGCGGGGGCUGCUGGCGCACUCUCCCAGGGUAUCAUUGUAGACGCAGGCCCGUAAAUCUCGGGUGAAACAAUGUUUCUAUCCCGUCAUCAGGCAUGCAAAGAGGAGAAAGUAAUACAUUUGAUCUUCCGCUGCAAAGAGGGGAGAAAGAGAGAUUGUAGGCUCCAGGACUCCUUCAAACACUUCAGGAAUUAGUGGGGGAGGGGAAGAGGCUAGGAAGGAUGGAUGCGUUAAGAUGGUAAAAUAAAAACAUGAUAUGAAGAUAUAUUUACUGUCAUCUCAGAGCCAAAACAUUUAUGCUCCCACGUCUUUUUUUUUUUUUUUUUGAACAAAUAGGGACUGAAGUGAUGCAUUUUAAUUAUUUUAGGAAAAUAAGCGCGAAGGCUCGUUUUCAGAGUCUAAAUAAAUAACAGUGUUCUGUGCUGAUGAUGUCUCUAGCUCAUGAUGGCCUCAUCUAUGCAGCCACUACUAUGAGCUCUGAAAACCUGGGAAGAAUGGGGUGUUACUGGCAAUUUCUGAAAGGAACUAUCCAUUAUUUGUGAGGUUUUCUGAAACAGAACAUGCAAAGAAUUUUGUGACAGUCUGAGAGGUGAAAAGGGGGCAAAUAUUUUCCUAAAGCUUCAGCUCAGAAUGAUGAGUACCUAAUCUCGUUAUUGUUUUAAGACGAGGUGAGGAGCAAUUUUCCUUAUUUUUCAAAUAGUUAUUUCAACUCUUUUCCUCAGUGGUGCGGAAAGGACACGUUUCCCUACUAUACAAGGAGCUGGAUGCCUUGCAGUCUCUCAGAUCAGCUUUUGUUUUGUUUUGUUUUGUUUUGUUUUCCACUGCCUGAUAUAAUUCCCGAUAACUUCGUUCCUGCAUACAAUGUGUCCUUAAUCUCUUACAGAUUGCAGGGAGCUUUCUGAAGGACAGUGAUAUUAUUUUUCUUUUGGGAAGAGGGGAGGAGGGAAAUACUCCCUUCACCUAGAAGUAGAAUCUACUUAUGUGUAGUCAGGAAAAAAAGGAAAAAUAAAGAAAAAAGAAAAAAAUGAAAAAAAUGAGUUAGAACGCAGCAAAGAGAGACCCUUCAAGCUCUCUGUGUAAAAAAAAAAAAAAAAAAAAAAAAAAAAAAAAAAAAAAAGAAAGAGG